UACGGUGGAUGCGAGCGUUAUCCGGAUUUAUUGGAUUUAAAGGGUGCGUAGGCGGGCUUUUAAGUCAGCGGUAAAAAUUCGGGGCUCAACCCCGUCCGGCCGUUGAAACUGGGGGUCUUGAGUGGGCGAGAAGAAGGCGGAAUGCGUGGUGUAGCGGUGAAAUGCAUAGAUAUCACGCAGAACCCCGAUUGCGAAGGCAGCCUUCCGGCGCCCUACUGACGCUGAGGCACGAAAGUGCGGGGAUCGAACAGG
RNAcentral lists this ribosomal RNA (252 nucleotides) under uncultured bacterium. RNAcentral describes it as "partial 16S ribosomal RNA". It matches the Rfam family "Bacterial small subunit ribosomal RNA", at positions 524 to 776 of the family's 1533-position model. The record is from RNAcentral.